Molecule: ribosomal RNA, 439 nt
Filed under: uncultured prokaryote
Description: bacterial SSU rRNA
Rfam family: Bacterial small subunit ribosomal RNA
Source: RNAcentral
UCGAGAAUCUUCGGCAAUGGGCGAAAGCCUGACCGAGCAAUGCCGCGUGCGGGAUGAAGGCCCUCGGGUUGUAAACCGCGAAAGUGAGGAGGAAGGGCCCGUGAAGAGCGGGUCUUGACCGAUCCACAGUAAGGACGGGCUAAGUUCGUGCCAGCAGCCGCGGUAACACGAACCGUCCAAACGUUAUUCGGAAUUAUUGGGCUUAAAGGGUGCGUAGGCGGCCCUGUAAGUCGGGUGUGAAAUCCUUCGGCUCAACCGAAGAAUUGCGCCCGAUACUGCGGGGCUAGAGGGAGACAGGGGUGAGCGGAACUGAUGGUGGAGCGGUGAAAUGCGUUGAUAUCAUCAGGAACACCGGUGGCGAAAGCGGCUCACUGGGUCUCUACUGACGCUGAGGCACGAAAGCCAGGGUAGCGAACGGGAUUAGAUACCCCUGUAGUCC